Molecule: ribosomal RNA, 253 nt
Filed under: uncultured bacterium
Lineage: Bacteria
Description: partial 16S ribosomal RNA
Rfam family: Bacterial small subunit ribosomal RNA
Source: RNAcentral
UACGUAGGGUGCAAGCGUUGUCCGGAAUUAUUGGGCGUAAAGAGCUCGUAGGCGGUCUGUCGCGUCUGCUGUGAAAACUCGGGGCUUAACCCCGGGCCUGCAGUGGGUACGGGCAGACUAGAGUGCGGUAGGGGAGACUGGAAUUCCUGGUGUAGCGGUGAAAUGCGCAGAUAUCAGGAGGAGGACCUGUGGCGAAGACGAGUCUCUGGGCGUGAACUGACGCUGAGGAGCGAAAGCAUGGGGAGCGAACAGG